UUAAGCGACUAAGCGUACACGGUGGAUGCCCUGGCAGUCAGAGGCGAUGAAGGACGUGCUAAUCUGCGAAAAGCGUCGGUAAGGUGAUAUGAACCGUUAUAACCGGCGAUGUCCGAAUGGGGAAACCCAGUGCAAUUCGUUGCACUAUCGUUAACUGAAUACAUAGGUUAACGAGGCGAACCGGGGGAACUGAAACAUCUAAGUACCCCGAGGGAAAAGAAAUCAACCGAGAUUCCCCAGUAGCGGCGAGCGAACGGGGAACAGCCCAGAGUCUGAAUCAGCUUGUGUGUUAGUGGAACGGUCUGGAAAGUCCGACGGUACAGGGUGAUAGUCCCGUACACCAAAAUGCACAGGCUGUGAACUCGAAGAGUAGGGCGGGACACGUGGUAUCCUGUCUGAAUAUGGGGGGACCAUCCUCCAAGGCUAAAUACUCCUGACUGACCGAUAGUGAACCAGUACCGUGAGGGAAAGGCGAAAAGAACCCCGGCGAGGGGAGUGAAAAAGAACCUGAAACCGUGUACGUACAAGCAGUGGGAGCACUUCGGGUGUGACUGCGUACCUUUUGUAUAAUGGGUCAGCGACUUAUAUUCUGUAGCAAGGUUAACCGUAUAGGGAGCCGCAGGGAAACCGAGUCUUAACUGGGCGUUAAGUUGCAGGGUAUAGACCCGAAACCCGGUGAUCUAGCCAUGGGCAGGUUGAAGGUUGGGUAACACUAACUGGAGGACCGAACCGACUAAUGUUGAAAAAUUAGCGGAUGACUUGUGGCUGGGGGUGAAAGGCCAAUCAAACCCGGGAGAUAGCUGGUUCUCCCCGAAAGCUAUUUAGGUAGCGCCUCGUGAAUUCAUCUUCGGGGGUAGAGCACUGUUUCGGCUAGGGGGUCAUCCCGACUUACCAACCCGAUGCAAACUACGAAUACCGAAGAAUGUUAUCACGGGAGACACACGGCGGGUGCUAACGUCCGUCGUGAAGAGGGAAACAACCCAGACCGCCAGCUAAGGUCCCAAAGUCAUGGUUAAGUGGGAAACGAUGUGGGAAGGCACAGACAGCCAGGAUGUUGGCUUAGAAGCAGCCAUCAUUUAAAGAAAGCGUAAUAGCUCACUGGUCGAGUCGGCCUGCGCGGAAGAUGUAACGGGGCUAAACCAUGCACCCGAAGCUGCGGCAGCGACACUAUGUGUUGUUGGGUAGGGGAGCGUUCUGUAAGCCUGCGAAGGUGACCUGUGAGGGUUGCUGGAGGUAUCAGAAGUGCGAAUGCUGACAUAAGUAACGAUAAAGCGGGUGAAAAGCCCGCUCGCCGGAAGACCAAGGGUUCCUGUCCAAACGUUAAUCGGGGCAGGGUGAGUCGACCCCUAAGGCGAGGCCGAAAGGCGUAGUCGAUGGGAAACAGGUUAAUAUUCCUGUACUUGGUGUUACUGCGAAGGGGGGACGGAGAAGGCUAUGUUAGCCGGGCGACGGUUGUCCCGGUUUAAGCAUGUAGGCUGGUUAUCCAGGCAAAUCCGGAUAAUCAAGGCUGAGGUGUGAUGACGAGGCACUACGGUGCUGAAGUAACAAAUGCCCUGCUUCCAGGAAAAGCCUCUAAGCAUCAGGUAACAUCAAAUCGUACCCCAAACCGACACAGGUGGUCAGGUAGAGAAUACCAAGGCGCUUGAGAGAACUCGGGUGAAGGAACUAGGCAAAAUGGUGCCGUAACUUCGGAGAAGGCACGCUGGUGUGUAGGUGAAGCCCCUGCGGGUGGAGCUGAGACCAGUCGAAGAUACCAGCUGGCUGCAACUGUUUAUUAAAAACACAGCACUGUGCAAACACGAAAGUGGACGUAUACGGUGUGACGCCUGCCCGGUGCCGAAGGUUAAUUGAUGGGGUUAUCCGUAAGGAGAAGCUCUUGAUCGAAGCCCCGGUAAACGGCGGCCGUAACUAUAACGGUCCUAAGGUAGCGAAAUUCCUUGUCGGGUAAGUUCCGACCUGCACGAAUGGCGUAAUGAUGGCCAGGCUGUCUCCACCCGAGACUCAGUGAAAUUGAACUCGCUGUGAAGAUGCAGUGUACCCGCGGCAAGACGGAAAGACCCCGUGAACCUUUACUAUAGCUUGACACUGAACAUUGAGCCUUGAUGUGUAGGAUAGGUGGGAGGCUUUGAAGCGUGGACGCCAGUCUGCGUGGAGCCAACCUUGAAAUACCACCCUUUAAUGUUUGAUGUUCUAACGUUGGCCCCUGACCGGGGUUGCGGACAGUGUCUGGUGGGUAGUUUGACUGGGGCGGUCUCCUCCCAAAGCGUAACGGAGGAGCACGAAGGUUAGCUAAUCCUGGUCGGACAUCAGGAGGUUAGUGCAAUGGCAUAAGCUAGCUUGACUGCGAGCGUGACGGCGCGAGCAGGUGCGAAAGCAGGUCAUAGUGAUCCGGUGGUUCUGAAUGGAAGGGCCAUCGCUCAACGGAUAAAAGGUACUCCGGGGAUAACAGGCUGAUACCGCCCAAGAGUUCAUAUCGACGGCGGUGUUUGGCACCUCGAUGUCGGCUCAUCACAUCCUGGGGCUGAAGUAGGUCCCAAGGGUAUGGCUGUUCGCCAUUUAAAGUGGUACGCGAGCUGGGUUUAGAACGUCGUGAGACAGUUCGGUCCCUAUCUGCCGUGGGCGCUGGAGAAUUGAGGGGGGCUGCUCCUAGUACGAGAGGACCGGAGUGGACGCAUCACUGGUGUUCGGGUUGUCAUGCCAAUGGCACUGCCCGGUAGCUAAAUGCGGAAGAGAUAAGUGCUGAAAGCAUCUAAGCACGAAACUUGCCCCGAGAUGAGUUCUCCCUGAGACUUUAAGUCUCCUGAAGGAACGUUAAAGACGAUGACGUUGAUAGGCCGGGUGUGUAAGCGCAGCGAUGCGUUGAGCUAACCGGUACUAAUGAACCGUGAGGCUUAACCUU
Molecule: ribosomal RNA, 2899 nt
Filed under: Klebsiella pneumoniae subsp. ozaenae
Lineage: Bacteria; Pseudomonadati; Pseudomonadota; Gammaproteobacteria; Enterobacterales; Enterobacteriaceae
Description: bacterial LSU rRNA
Rfam family: Bacterial large subunit ribosomal RNA
Source: RNAcentral